GACGAACGCUGGCGGCGUGCUUAACACAUGCAAGUCGAACGGAAAGGCCCUGCUUUUGUGGGGUGCUCGAGUGGCGAACGGGUGAGUAACACGUGAGUAACCUGCCCUUGACUUUGGGAUAACUUCAGGAAACUGGGGCUAAUACCGGAUAGGAGCUCCUGCUGCAUGGUGGGGGUUGGAAAGUUUCGGCGGUUGGGGAUGGACUCGCGGCUUAUCAGCUUGUUGGUGGGGUAGUGGCUUACCAAGGCUUUGACGGGUAGCCGGCCUGAGAGGGUUACCGGCCACAUGGGGACUGAGAUACGGCCCAGACUCCUACGGGAGGCAGCAGUGGGGAAUAUUGCACAAUGGGCGGAAGCCUGAUGCAGCGACGCCGCGUGCGGGAUGACGGCCUUCGGGUUGUAAACCGCUUUCGCCUGUGACGAAGCGUGAGUGACGGUAAUGGGUAAAGAAGCACCGGCUAACUACGUG
Molecule: ribosomal RNA, 468 nt
Filed under: uncultured bacterium
Lineage: Bacteria
Description: partial 16S ribosomal RNA
Rfam family: Bacterial small subunit ribosomal RNA
Source: RNAcentral